Molecule: long non-coding RNA, 1609 nt
Organism: Papaver somniferum (opium poppy)
Lineage: Eukaryota; Viridiplantae; Streptophyta; Magnoliopsida; Ranunculales; Papaveraceae
Exons: 3
Source: RefSeq, a predicted model, not a curated record
AACUAUAUGUAGAGGUCAAAUUAGCACAACUCGACCAUCGUCAUCAUCAACAAAGGGUACCUGCAUUAUAAUAGUAUCAAAGAAGAAAAAGAAAAAGGAAACAAGAAAAGCAACAUUUGCUGUAUAUCAUGGCCAAGAUGAGUAUGUUCCUCGGCAUCUUCGUAUUUGUCUUGAUUGCCAUGCCAACCCACUCCUCUUCGAACAGAAUGACACUGAAGGAGGAUCUGGGAGUAGUAAACAACUGCCCAAAGUUUAAGUGCCUACAAAUUGUGUGCCCACAAAUUAAAUGCAGAUUUGGCUCUUACACUCCGUGCUGUGGCUGCCCAAGAUGCUGUGCUUCUGUUAAUUGAAUUACUUAGCGGAUCCCGGUUGUACCGCAUACCCAUGUAACUUCGAUCAUUAGUUCUACACAUAUAUAUAUACACGUACCUCGCAAUGGUAUUGUGUCUUUCUCCUCUUAAUUUGAUGUAGCUGCUUACACCUAUGUUUGUAUUAGUGUAUUAAUUGCAUUUUAAAUGUAAUGAAGCUUACGUUGUUGUAUAACAAGGCAAGGCAACCUUGGGGCUAUAAAAGGAGAACUUGUAUACUACGUAAUUAAAGGUUUCAAAUUAUUUUUAAGAACAUGAUAGAGAGACUCUUUUCUCUGAUCUAACCUAACCCAUCCUGGUCUAGAGAGUUAAAGCCGAUUGACUACACUUGUAACCUUCACCAAAUCAUAGUAAAGGUAUCCGCCAAUCCCUCCUGGAUGUUGGUUUUAACCGUGAACCACGUAAAUCUAUGUUCAUAUUGAAUUAGAACUUCAUUUUGUUAUUGCGUCCUUGACAUCUAACGCGAUCUUUAACUUGUUGCCAUAAUCUUAGAUUUGGUAUAAGUAUUUGAUUUUUAGUAGUUGCAAAAACCGCUGGUCAUCAACAGCAUCCCACUCGGAAGACAAUGCUGUUGCUUUCCAAUCCAAUAGUAUAACACCAAAACUGAGAUAUUUUGACCAUAGAAGGAUGUAUACCGACUUUCUUAUCCUUUCAAUUUGUAGAGUAUUAUUUAUAGAUGUCAGUCAGUAGUACUUGAAGUCUGGAACAUCAUCAUCAUUCAUCAAAGAAGAAAUAGAGAAGCAUCACUAUACGUAUAUCAUGGCUAAGAUCAGUAUGAUCGUUAGCAUCUUCUUGUUUGUCUUGAUUGUCAUGCCAGCUUCUUCAUCCAGCAGAUUGAUACUGGAAGAGGAUCAAGAAGUAGUAGAUACAUGCCCAAAAGUUAAGUGCGUAAGUGUUUGCCUCAAUCCACCACCAAAAGUGUGUCCACAAAUUAAAUGCAGAUUUGGUUCUUACACGCCGUGUUGUAGAUGCCCAGAAUGCUGUCCUCCUCCUGCUUAAAUUACCCACUGGAUCCUGAUCGUACCGCAUACCGUAUAAUUUGUUCUUGCAAAUGUAUGUCACUACGUAUUGUGUAGUUUGGACUUGGAUGGUAUUGUGUUUUCUCCUUUUGAUUUGAUGUAAGUGUACAAUCGAAUGUUGGAUGUAAUAAUAAAAUGAGUAAAUGUAUGCGGUCAUAUGUUGCUUGCAUAAAUGAGUAAAUGUAUGCGGACCGGGCUGCAUAGACUCGGUAAUUAAAAGUU